AACAGGAUUAGAUACCCUGGUAGUCCACGCCGUAAACGAUGUCGACUUGGAGGUUGUGCCCUUGAGGCGUGGCUUCCGGAGCUAACGCGUUAAGUCGACCGCCUGGGGAGUACGGCCGCAAGGUUAAAACUCAAAUGAAUUGACGGGGGCCCGCACAAGCGGUGGAGCAUGUGGUUUAAUUCGAUGCAACGCGAAGAACCUUACCUGGUCUUGACAUCCACAGAACUUUCCAGAGAUGGAUUGGUGCCUUCGGGAACUGUGAGACAGGUGCUGCAUGGCUGUCGUCAGCUCGUGUUGUGAAAUGUUGGGUUAAGUCCCGCAACGAGCGCAACCCUUAUCCUUUGUUGCCAGCGGUCCGGCCGGGAACUCAAAGGAGACUGCCAGUGAUAAACUGGAGGAAGGUGGGGAUGACGUCAAGUCAUCAUGGCCCUUACGACCAGGGCUACACACGUGCUACAAUGGCGCAUACAAAGAGAAGCGAACUCGCGAGAGCAAGCGGACCUCAUAAAGUGCGUCGUAGUCCGGAUUGGAGUCUGCAACUCGACUCCAUGAAGUCGGAAUCGCUAGUAAUCGUGGAUCAGAAUGCCACGGUGAAUACGUUCCCGGGCCUUGUACACACCGCCCGUCACACCAUGGGAGUGGGUUGCAAAAGAAGUAGGUAGCUUAACCUUCGGGAGGGCGCUUACCACUUUGUGAUUCAUGACUGGGGUGAAGUCGUAACAAGGUAACC
Molecule: ribosomal RNA, 730 nt
Filed under: uncultured bacterium
Lineage: Bacteria
Description: bacterial SSU rRNA
Rfam family: Bacterial small subunit ribosomal RNA
Source: RNAcentral